This 500-nucleotide ribosomal RNA is filed under the name uncultured bacterium. RNAcentral describes it as "partial 16S ribosomal RNA". It matches the Rfam family "Bacterial small subunit ribosomal RNA", at positions 29 to 523 of the family's 1533-position model. The record is from RNAcentral.
AUUGAACGCUGGCGGCAUGCCUUACACAUGCAAGUCGAACGGCAGCACGGGAGCAAUCCUGGUGGCGAGUGGCGAACGGGUGAGUAAUACAUCGGAACGUGCCCAGUCGUGGGGGAUAGCCCGGCGAAAGCCGGAUUAAUACCGCAUACGACCUACGGGUGAAAGCGGGGGACCGCAAGGCCCCGCGCGAUUGGAGCGGCCGAUGUCAGAUUAGGUUGUUGGUGGGGUAAAAGCCCACCAAGCCGACGAUCUGUAGCUGGUCUGAGAGGACGACCAGCCACACUGGGACUGAGACACGGCCCAGACUCCUCCGUGAGGCAGAAGUGGGGAAUUUUGGACAAUGGGGGCAACCCUGAUCCAGCCAUGCCGCGUGCGGGAAGAAGGCCUUCGGGUUGUAAACCGCUUUUGUCAGGGAAGAAACGCGCUGAGUUAAUACCUCGGCGUAAUGACGGUACCUGAAGAAUAAGCACCGGCUAACUACGUGCCAGCCGCCGCGGUAA